RNAcentral lists this ribosomal RNA (2095 nucleotides) under Flabellophora sp. 4 OM-2011. RNAcentral's name for it is "eukaryotic LSU rRNA". The stretch from base 636 to 2095 matches the Rfam family "Eukaryotic large subunit ribosomal RNA", at positions 1 to 1451 of the family's 3401-position model. Lineage: Eukaryota; Fungi; Basidiomycota; Agaricomycetes; Polyporales; Steccherinaceae. The record is from RNAcentral.
AAUUGAACACGGUUGUAGCUGGUCCCUUGCGGGGGGCAUGUGCACGCUGUCGUUCUUUUAUUUCCAUCCUUCACACCUCUGUGCACCUUCCAUGGGUUUCAGGUGGCUCGCGUUUCCAGUGGCAACGCUGUGAUCCGUCGAGUCGAUCUGUUUCUCAUGCGUUCUUACCACACACCUCUGUCUGUUUGAGAAUGUGAAAUGUGUUGUGCAUGCAUAAUGUACAUACAAAAUACAACUUUCAACAACGGAUCUCUUGGCUCUCGCAUCGAUGAAGAACGCAGCGAAAUGCGAUAAGUAAUGUGAAUUGCAGAAUUCAGUGAAUCAUCGAAUCUUUGAACGCACCUUGCGCUCCUUGGUAUUCCGAGGAGCAUGCCUGUUUGAGUGUCAUGGUAUUCUCAACCCCUCUCGUGCUCUUGUGGUGUGAGGGUGGGCUUGGACUUGGAGGUCUCAUGCCGGUCGCUCUCGUUUUGCGGCUGGCUCCUCUGAAAUGCAUUAGCUUGAACGUGUCGUGCUCGCGCACAACACACCAGGCAUGGUUUCAGCGUGAUAAAAUAUCUGCGCUGUUCUCAUGGUUGUUUCAGGCUUACGAAAYUGAAAGAAAAAAGCGCUUGUCGUCUUUUUUCGUUCUGAACAUCUGACCUCAAAUCAGGUAGGACUACCCGCUGAACUUAAGCAUAUCAAUAAGCGGAGGAAAAGAAACUAACAAGGAUUCCCCUAGUAACUGCGAGUGAAGCGGGAAAAGCUCAAAUUUAAAAUCUGGCAGCUUUGGCUGUCCGAGUUGUAGUCUGGAGAAGUGUUUUCUGUGCUGGACCGUGUACAAGUCUCUUGGAAUAGAGCGUCAUAGAGGGUGAGAAUCCCGUCUUUGACACGGACUCCCAGUGCUGUGUGAUGCGCUCUCAAAGAGUCGAGUUGUUUGGGAAUGCAGCUCAAAAUGGGUGGUAAAUUCCAUCUAAAGCUAAAUAUUGGCGAGAGACCGAUAGCGAACAAGUACCGUGAGGGAAAGAUGAAAAGCACUUUGGAAAGAGAGUUAAACAGUACGUGAAAUUGUUGAAAGGGAAACGCUUGAAGUCAGUCGCGUCUGUCAGAACUCAGCCAUGCUUUCGCGUGGUGCACUUUCUGGUAGACGGGCCAGCAUCAAUUUUGACCAUUGGAAAAAGGCUUCGGGAAUGUGGCACCUUCGGGUGUGUUAUAGCCCUUGGUCACAUACAGUGGUUGGGAUUGAGGAUCUCAGCAUGCCUUUACGGUCGGGGUUCGCCCACGUUCAUGCUUAGGAUGCUGGCGUAAUGGCUUUAAACGACCCGUCUUGAAACACGGACCAAGGAGUCUAACGUGCCUGCGAGUGUUUGGGUGGAAAACCCGAGCGCGUAAUGAAAGUGAAAGUUGGGAUCCCUGUCGUGGGGAGCACCGACGCCCGGACCAGACCUUCUGUGACGGAUCCGCGGUAGAGCAUGUAUGUUGGGACCCGAAAGAUGGUGAACUAUGCCUGAAUAGGGUGAAGCCAGAGGAAACUCUGGUGGAGGCUCGUAGCGAUUCUGACGUGCAAAUCGAUCGUCAAAUUUGGGUAUAGGGGCGAAAGACUAAUCGAACCAUCUAGUAGCUGGUUCCUGCCGAAGUUUCCCUCAGGAUAGCAGAAACUCAUGUCAGAUUUAUGUGGUAAAGCGAAUGAUUAGAGGCCUUGGGGUUGUAACAACCUUAACCUAUUCUCAAACUUUAAAUAUGUAAGAACGAGCCGUCACUUGAUUGGACCGCUCGGCGAUUGAGAGUUUCUAGUGGGCCAUUUUUGGUAAGCAGAACUGGCGAUGCGGGAUGAACCGAACGCGAGGUUAAGGUGCCGGAAUGUACGCUCAUCAGACACCACAAAAGGUGUUAGUUCAUCUAGACAGCAGGACGGUGGCCAUGGAAGUCGGAACCCGCUAAGGAGUGUGUAACAACUCACCUGCCGAAUGAACUAGCCCUGAAAAUGGAUGGCGCUCAAGCGUACUACCCAUACCUCGCCGUCAGUGUUGAAGUGACGCACUGACGAGUAGGCAGGCGUGGAGGUUGGUGAAGAAGCCUAGGCAGUGAUGCUGGGUGAAACAGCCUCUAGUGCAGAUCU